This 254-nucleotide ribosomal RNA is filed under the name uncultured bacterium. RNAcentral describes it as "partial 16S ribosomal RNA". It matches the Rfam family "Bacterial small subunit ribosomal RNA", at positions 524 to 776 of the family's 1533-position model. The record is from RNAcentral.
UACGGAGGGUGCGAGCGUUAAUCGGAAUUACUGGGCGUAAAGGGUGCGUAGGUGGUUUAAUAAGUUAUGUGUGAAAGCCCUGGGCUCAACCUGGGAAGGUCAGAUAAGACUGUUAAGACUCGAGUAUGGGAGAGGGUAGUGGAAUUUCCGGUGUAGCGGUGAAAUGCGUAGAGAUCGGAAGGAACAUCGGUGGCGAAGGCGGCUACCUGGCCUAAUACUGACACUGAGGCACGAAAGCGUGGGGAGCAAACAGG